Molecule: ribosomal RNA, 352 nt
Filed under: uncultured Geobacillus sp.
Lineage: Bacteria; Bacillati; Bacillota; Bacilli; Caryophanales; Anoxybacillaceae
Description: bacterial SSU rRNA
Rfam family: Bacterial small subunit ribosomal RNA
Source: RNAcentral
AGGGUGACGUAGGUGGUGCAUGGUUGUCGUCAGCUCGUGUCGUGAGAUGUUGGGUUAAGUCCCGCAACGAGCGCAACCUUCGCCUCUAGUUGCCAGCAUUCGGUUGGGCACUCUAGAGGGACUGCCGGCGACAAGUCGGAGGAAGUGGGAUGACGUCAAAUCAUCAUGCCCUUAUGACCUGGGCUACACACGUGCUACAAUGGGCGGUACAAAGGGCUGCGAACCCGCGAGGGGGAGCGAAUCCCAAAAAGCCGCUCUCAGUUCGGAUUGCAGGCUGCAACUCGCCUGCAUGAAGCCGGAAUCGCUAGUAAUCGCGGAUCAGCAUGCCGCGGUGAAUACGUUCCCGGGCCUU